AUGGCGAUCUCCAAGCUCAUCGCAUUGUUCUUCGCUUUCGCGGCCGUGGCGGCGACGCUGCCGCCGUCCGAAGCGAGGGUCCAGGGGUUCACGACCACAACCGGGAACCAAGAAGAAACAGACCCUUCGUCCAAGGCCGCCGCCCAGGCCGGAGGCGCCCCCGGCUUCUCCCUGCCGUUGCCUCAGAUCCCCGGCCUUCCGCCAUUGUUCGGCGGCUUCCCCUUCCCGCCGCUGCCUCAGAUCCCCGGCCUUCCACCGUUGUUCGGGCCGCUCCCCGGCGCGCCAGGCGCUCCACCAUCUCCCGGCAUCCCACACUUUCCGCCCAGCGCUGGCUCUGCUGCCGCCCCUGCGCCGCCACCGCCCGCAGAGUGCCUGACGCCGUUGAUGCAGAUGGCGCCGUGCGUGGACUACCUCACCAACAUCACCGUCGUCGCGCCCCCGUCCACGUGCUGCGACGGCCUCAAGUCGGUCAUCAGCGGCGCGCCCAUCUGCCUCUGCCACGGCAUGAACGGCGGCAUGAGCAAGCUCUUCCCCAGGCCCAUCGAUCCGAUCCGGAUGCUCAUCCUGCCGCUCAGGUGCGGCGCCAUGCUGCCACUAGGGACGCUUCUCACGUGCUCCACUCAAACCCUACCGCCGCUGGCUCCUCCUAGUUCCACUCCAGCGCCCCCUGCUUCUCCCGUGUCUCCGGCGCCUGCUAGUUCGCCCGUGUCAACACCUACAGAGGCAUCCCCAUAA
This 735-nucleotide ribosomal RNA is filed under the name Triticum aestivum (bread wheat). Its description in RNAcentral is "partial small subunit ribosomal RNA". The record is from RNAcentral. Lineage: Eukaryota; Viridiplantae; Streptophyta; Magnoliopsida; Poales; Poaceae.